This 827-nucleotide ribosomal RNA is filed under the name uncultured bacterium. Its description in RNAcentral is "bacterial SSU rRNA". It matches the Rfam family "Bacterial small subunit ribosomal RNA", at positions 8 to 796 of the family's 1533-position model. The record is from RNAcentral.
AGAGUUUGAUCCUGGCUCAGAACGAACGCUGGCGGCGUGCCUAACACAUGCAAGUCGAACGGUCCCGUUACUAACCACCGAGUAUAUACGUAAUUGCCUUGAGAUGAGGUAAAAGGUAUAUAUUGGGUGGUUAGUAACGGGAUAGUGGCGGACGGGUGAGUAACACGUAAGUAACCUACCCUUAAGCUGGGGACAACUCAGGGAAACUUGGGCUAAUACCCGAUAAGACCACGAACUGAGACGUUAGUGGUAAAAGGAGCAAUUCACUUAAGGAUGGGCUUGCGGCCUAUCAGGUAGUUGGUGAGGUAAUGGCCCACCAAGCCUAAGACGGGUAGCCGGACUGAGAGGUUGAACGGCCACACUGGAACUGAGAUACGGUCCAGACUCCUACGGGAGGCAGCAGUGGGGAAUCUUGCGCAAUGGGGGAAACCCUGACGCAGCGACGCCGCGUGGAGGAUGAAGGCCUUCGGGUUGUAAACUCCUUUUCUCAGGGAAAAUGGUGAUGGUACCUGAGGAAUAAGCCACGGCUAACUCUGUGCCAGCAGCCGCGGUAAGACAGAGGUGGCGAGCGUUGUUCGGAAUUACUGGGCUUAAAGGGCGAGUAGGCGGUAAGGCAAGUCCGAGGUGGAAUCCUAUGGCUUAACCAUAGAACGGCCUCGGAAACUGCUUUACUUGAGUCAGUGAGGGGAGGGCGGAAUUCCUGGUGUAGCGGUGAAAUGCGUAGAUAUCAGGAGGAAGGCCUGUGGCGAAGACGGCCCUCUGGCGCUGUACUGACGCUGAGGCGCGAAAGCGUGGGGAGCAAACAGGAUUAGAUACCCUGGUAGUCC